This 257-nucleotide ribosomal RNA is filed under the name uncultured bacterium. Its description in RNAcentral is "partial 16S ribosomal RNA". It matches the Rfam family "Archaeal small subunit ribosomal RNA", at positions 471 to 727 of the family's 1478-position model. The record is from RNAcentral.
UAACACCGGCAGCUCAAGUGGUGGCCAUUUUUAUUGGGCCUAAAGCGUUCGUAGCCGGUUUGAUAAGUCUCUGGUGAAAUCCCGCAGCUUAACUGUGGGACUUGCUGGAGAUACUAUUAGACUUGAGGUCGGGAGAGGUUAGGGGUACUCCCAGGGUAGGGGUGAAAUCCUAUAAUCCUGGGAGGACCACCUGUGGCGAAGGCGCCUAACUGGAACGAACCUGACGGUGAGUAACGAAAGCCAGGGGCGCGAACCGG